GACGACGCUGGCGGCGUGGAUUAGGCAUGCAAGUCGAACGGUAUCAUCCUUCGGGGAUGAGAGAGUGGCGAACGGGUGAGUAACACGUAGGUGAUCUACCCUCAAGACGGGACAACCCAGGGAAACUUGGGCUAAUACCGGAUGUGAGCUAUCGCGAGAUAGUUUGAAAGGUGGCUUCGGCUGCCGCUUGGGGAUGAGCCUGCGUCCUAUUAGCUAGUUGGUGAGGUAACGGCUCACCGAGGCAGUGAUAGGUAGGCGGCCUUAACGGGUGGUCGCCCACACUGGGAUUGAGAUACGGCCCAGACUCCUACGGGAGGCAGCAGUCGAGAAUAGUCUACAAUGGUCGAAAGACUGAUAGUGCGACGCCGCGUGAACGAAGAAGCCCUUCGGGGUGUAAAGUUCUUUUAUAUGUGAGCAGUGACAUCUAUAUUAAUAGUAUGGGUGUAGAGAUAUUAGCAUAUGAAUAAGCAACGGCUAACUCCGUG
Molecule: ribosomal RNA, 485 nt
Filed under: uncultured bacterium
Lineage: Bacteria
Description: bacterial SSU rRNA
Rfam family: Bacterial small subunit ribosomal RNA
Source: RNAcentral